Molecule: ribosomal RNA, 1065 nt
Filed under: Jonesia quinghaiensis
Lineage: Bacteria; Bacillati; Actinomycetota; Actinomycetes; Micrococcales; Jonesiaceae
Description: bacterial SSU rRNA
Rfam family: Bacterial small subunit ribosomal RNA
Source: RNAcentral
CGCUGGCGGCGUGCUUAACACAUGCAAGUCGAACGAUGAUGACUGAAGCUUGCUUUGGUUUGAUUAGUGGCGAACGGGUGAGUAACACGUGAGUAACCUGCCCCUCACUUCGGGAUAACCAUUGGAAACGGUGGCUAAUACUGGAUAUGACACAUGGCCGCAUGGUCUGUGUGUGGAAAGAACUUUGGUGGGGGAUGGGCUCGCGGCCUAUCAGCUUGUUGGUGGGGUGAUGGCCUACCAAGGCUUUGACGGGUAGCCGGCCUGAGAGGGCGACCGGCCACACUGGGACUGAGACACGGCCCAGACUCCUACGGGAGGCAGCAGUGGGGAAUAUUGCACAAUGGGGGAAACCCUGAUGCAGCGACGCCGCGUGGGGGAUGAAGGCCUUCGGGUUGUAAACCCCUUUCAGUAGGGAACAAGGCCAUGAUUUUUGUUGUGGUUGAGGGUACUUGCAGAAGAAGCGCCGGCUAACUACGUGCCAGCAGCCGCGGUAAUACGUAGGGCGCAAGCGUUGUCCGGAAUUAUUGGGCGUAAAGAGCUCGUAGGCGGUUUGUCGCGUCUGCCGUGAAAACCCGAUGCUUAACAUCGGGCUUGCGGUGGGUACGGGCAGGCUAGAGUGCGGUAGGGGUGACUGGAAUUCCUGGUGUAGCGGUGGAAUGCGCAGAUAUCAGGAGGAACACCGAUGGCGAAGGCAGGUCACUGGGCCGUUACUGACGCUGAGGAGCGAAAGCAUGGGGAGCGAACAGGAUUAGAUACCCUGGUAGUCCAUGCCGUAAACGUUGGGCACUAGGUGUGGGGAUUGUUCCACGAUUCCUGUACCGUAGCUAACGCAUUAAGUGCCCCGCCUGGGGAGUACGGCCGCAAGGCUAAAACUCAAAGGAAUUGACGGGGGCCCGCACAAGCGGCGGAGCAUGCGGAUUAAUUCGAUGCAACGCGAAGAACCUUACCAAGGCUUGACAUACACCGGAACUGCUCAGAGAUGGGUAGGUCUUCGGACUGGUGUACAGGUGGUGCAUGGUUGUCGUCAGCUCGUGUCGUGAGAUGUUGGGUUAAGUCCCGCAACGA